AAUAAGGUGCCUGAUUAAAAGGAUUAUUUUGAUAGAAUAAAACAUGUAUAUAAAUACCCUUAUUA
This 65-nucleotide transfer RNA is filed under the name Sclomina guangxiensis. RNAcentral describes it as "tRNA-Ile". Lineage: Eukaryota; Metazoa; Arthropoda; Insecta; Hemiptera; Reduviidae. The record is from RNAcentral.